Molecule: small RNA, 97 nt
Filed under: Rhizobium sp. SG570
Lineage: Bacteria; Pseudomonadati; Pseudomonadota; Alphaproteobacteria; Hyphomicrobiales; Rhizobiaceae
Also listed under: 1 other name
Description: sRNA ar35
Rfam family: Alphaproteobacterial sRNA ar35
Source: RNAcentral
AUCUGGCUGCAGUUCCGCUUUCCCUUUGACCACGGAUGUACUGGCACUGUUGUGAGGGCGGAUGACGAAAGGCCGGUUUGCUCCGGCCUUUUUGUUU